AUACUGUCUUGUGUUUCUGAAGUUCAAAUAAUAUUAUCUGUUUUUAUCAGCUUAAUUUCUGGUAUGAAUCCCAUAUGGAUUCGAUAAAAAUUUGCAUAAGUUUUUGAAAAAAUAGACAUUUGGUAGCGUGCUUGCACCGCCAUUUGUCGCGGGUCGGCCUGAUAUUGCACUACAUUCAGGAACGGCUUAUGCUUU
RNAcentral lists this small nuclear RNA (195 nucleotides) under Trichinella papuae. RNAcentral's name for it is "U2 spliceosomal RNA". It matches the Rfam family "U2 spliceosomal RNA". Rfam says of the family: U2 is a small nuclear RNA (snRNA) component of the spliceosome (involved in pre-mRNA splicing). Complementary binding between U2 snRNA (in an area lying towards the 5' end but 3' to hairpin I) and the branchpoint sequence (BPS) of the intron results the bulging out of an unpaired adenosine, on the BPS, which initiates a nucleophilic attack at the intronic 5' splice site, thus starting the first of two transesterification reactions that mediate splicing. The record is from Rfam by way of RNAcentral. Lineage: Eukaryota; Metazoa; Nematoda; Enoplea; Trichinellida; Trichinellidae.